Molecule: ribosomal RNA, 1424 nt
Filed under: uncultured bacterium
Lineage: Bacteria
Description: bacterial SSU rRNA
Rfam family: Bacterial small subunit ribosomal RNA
Source: RNAcentral
AGAGUUUGAUCCUGGCUCAGGACGAACGCUGGCGGCGUGCCUAACACAUGCAAGUCGAGCGAUGAAAGAGAAGUGGCGGUCUUCGGACCAAAGCAUUUCUGGAUUAGCGGCGGACGGGUGAGUAACACGUGGAUAACCUGCCCCCGGGUGCGGGAUAGCCCAGGGAAACCUGGAUUAAUACCUCGUAAGACCACGCUCUGUAGGGAGAGUGGGAAAAGGCGCUUCGGCGUCGCCUGGGGAUGGGUCCGCGUCCCAUUAGCUAGAUGGUAGGGUAAGAGCCUACCAUGGCGACGAUGGGUAGCCGGCCUGAGGGGGUGAACGGCCACACUGGAACUGAGACACGGUCCAGACUCCUACGGGAGGCAGCAGCUAAGAAUCUUCCGCAAUGGGCGCAAGCCUGACGGAGCGACGCCGCGUGGGCGAGGAAGGCCGCAAGGUUGUAAAGUCCUUUUCGGGAAGGGGAAUAAGAGUGAUAGGCAAUGAUCACUUGAUGACAUGAAUCCCGGAAUAAGCCCCGGCUAACUACGUGCCAGCAGCCGCGGUAACACGGGGGUUGCAAGCGUUGUCCGGAAUUACUAGGCGUAAAGGGCAGGUAGGCGGAUCAGUAAGUUUGAUGUCAAAUCCAUCGGCUCACCCGAUGAUCGGCAUCAGAUACUGCUGAUCUGGAAUACGGUUGAGGAAGACAGAAUUCCUGGUGUAGCGGUGGAAUGCGCAGAGAUCAGGAGGAAUACCAAAUGCGAAGGCAGUCUUCUAGGCCGUUAUUGACGCUAAACUGCGAAGGUGUGGGGAUCAAACAAGGUUAGAUACCCUGGUAGUCCACACAGUAAACGCUCAUAAAGGGGUGUCGGGUUUCAAAUAAACUCGGUGCCGUAGCUAACGCGUUAAGUGAUUCGCCUGGGGAGUACGAUUCGCAAGGUUGAAACUCAAAGGAAUUGACGGGGGCCCGCACAAGCGGUGGAGCAUGUGGUUUAAUUCGAUGCAACGCGAAGAACCUUACCCGGUCUUGACAUCCGUAGGAUCCUUCAGAGAUGAGGGAGUGCCUCUCGGGGAACUACGAGACAGGUGCUGCAUGGCUGUCGUCAGCUCGUGUCGUGAGAUGUUGGGUUAAGUCCCGCAACGAGCGCAACCCCCGCAUCCAGUUGCCAUCAUUAGGUUGGGGACUCUGGAUGGACCACUGCGGUAACAACGCAGAGGAAGGUGGGGAGGACGUCAAGCAAUCAUGGUCCUUACGACCGGGGGUACACACGUGCUACAAUGGUAGUUACAGAGGGUUGCGAAGCCGUAAGGUGGAGCUAAUCUCAUAAAAGCUACGCAAGUUCGGAUUGAGGUCUGCAACUCGACCUCAUGAAGCUGGAAUCGCUAGUAAUCGCGCAACAUCAUGGUGCGGUGAAUAAGUUCCCGGGCCUUGUACUCACCGCCCGUCA